AUUGAACGCUGGCGGCAGGCCUAACACAUGCAAGUCGAGCGGAUGAAGGGAGCUUGCUCCUGGAUUCAGCGGCGGACGGGUGAGUAAUGCCUAGGAAUCUGCCUGGUAGUGGGGGAUAACGUCCGGAAACGGGCGCUAAUACCGCAUACGUCCUGAGGGAGAAAGUGGGGGAUCUUCGGACCUCACGCUAUCAGAUGAGCCUAGGUCGGAUUAGCUAGUUGGUGGGGUAAAGGCCUACCAAGGCGACGAUCCGUAACUGGUCUGAGUGGAUGAUCAGUCACACUGGAACUGAGACACGGUCCAGACUCCUACGGGAGGCAGCAAUGGGGAAUAUUGGACAAUGGGCGAAAGCCUGAUCCAGCCAUGCCGCGUGUGUGAAGAAGGUCUUCGGAUUGUAAAGCACUUUAAGUUGGGAGGAAGGGCAGUAAGUUAAUACCUUGCUGUUUUGACGUUACCAACAGAAUAAGCACCGGCUAACUUCGUG
This 484-nucleotide ribosomal RNA is filed under the name uncultured bacterium. RNAcentral's name for it is "partial 16S ribosomal RNA". It matches the Rfam family "Bacterial small subunit ribosomal RNA", at positions 30 to 507 of the family's 1533-position model. The record is from RNAcentral.